GAGUCCCAACAUUCCUCAAUACUGUAUCCACACAUCACUGCACCACAGCGAUGAAUACGCUGUCUGUGUAUUAGUAUUAACUGCAAACCAUGGCAAAGUAACAAAACACUACUUAUUUAACUUGAGUCUAUAUUUUAUUUCUGCACCCAAUCCAGUUAUGAUGGAUUUUAACUAUGCUCUUUUGUGCCCAGAAAUCAAACAGGAUUGAUGUCUGUGAUCCAUACAAACUUCCAGGUCACGGAAAGGGGAUGUGUAGGGCCUACGGGUCACGGAAAGGGGAGGUGUAGGGCCUACGGGUCACAGAAUGGGGAGGUGUAGGGCCUACGGGUCACGGAAAGGGGAUGUGUAGGGCCUACGGGUCACGGAAUGGGGAGGUGUAGGGCCUACGGGUCACGGAAAGGGGAUGUGUAGGGCCUACGGGUCACGGAAAGGGGAUGUGUAGGGCCUACGGGUCACGGAAAGGGGAUGUGUAGGGCCUACGGGUCACGGAAAGGGGAUGUGUAGGGCCUACGGGUCACGGAAAGGGGAGGUGUAGGGCCUACGGGUCACAGAAAGGGGAGGUGUAGGGCCUACGGGUCACAGAAUGGGGAGGUGUAGGGCCUACGGGUCACGGAAAGGGGAUGUGUAGGGCCUACGGGUCACGGAAAGGGGAUGUGUAGGGCCUACGGGUCACGGAAAGGGGAUGUGUAGGGCCUACGGGUCACAGAAAGGGGAGGUAUAGGGCCUACGGGUCACAGAAAGGGGAGGUAUAGGGCCUACGGGUCACAGAAUGGGGAGGUGUAGGGCCUACGGGUCACAGAAUGGGGAGGUGUAGGGCCUACGGGUCACAGAAUGGGGAGGUGUAGGGCCUACGGGUCACAGAAUGGGGAGGUGUAGGGCCUACGGGUCACAGAAAGGGGAUGUGUAGGGCCUACGGGUCUUUGAGAUGGAUGUAUAGUGCCAAAAACUGACCAGCAAAGCUGGGGAGGUAAAGGGGU
This is a long non-coding RNA of Brienomyrus brachyistius, 977 nucleotides long. RefSeq lists it as uncharacterized. Lineage: Eukaryota; Metazoa; Chordata; Actinopteri; Osteoglossiformes; Mormyridae. The transcript is spliced from 3 exons. The record is from RefSeq and is a predicted model, not a curated record.